AGAGGUGGCGAGCGUUGUUCGGAUUCAUUGGGCGUAAAGGGUGCGUAGGUGGUUUGGUAAGUUGGAUGUGAAAUACCACAGCUCAACUGGGGAAUUGCAUCCAAAACUACCUUACUUGAGGAUCUCGGGAAGAGAAUAGAAUUCUCGGUGUAGCGGUGAAAUGCGUAGAUAUCGAGAAGAAUACCUGUGGCGAAGGCGGUUCUCUACCAUAUUCCUGACACUAAAGCACGAAAGCGCGGGGAGCAAACGGGAUUAGAUACCCCGGUAGUCCGCGCCGUAAACGAUGAGAACUGGGUGUACGAGGUAUCGACCCCUCGUGUGCCGAAGCUAACGCAUUAAGUUCUCCGCCUGGGGAGUACGGCCGCAAGGUUA
Molecule: ribosomal RNA, 372 nt
Filed under: uncultured bacterium
Lineage: Bacteria
Description: bacterial SSU rRNA
Rfam family: Bacterial small subunit ribosomal RNA
Source: RNAcentral